UAUAAAGAUGGGCAAGAAUUAUCUGUCAAUAAAAGUUUUAAAUUUUUAAAUAUAUCUACAAUUAUAAUUAGGUCAUUUAGGUAAAAAUUGUAAUGUCUCUUUUGAGUAUAUGCACUCCAGUUUACAACUACUAUCUACAAUGCUCAAUAAGAUACUUAUUGUAGUGGCAAUAGACAACUUACAAAGAAUAAUGAGAAAGGGUGUGACUUAGUUCAGGGUUACUAUGUAGGUUCUGACACCUUCCGGUUCAGUCCACUACACAGUUGGAUCUAGUUUCUAUUUAAUAGUAAUUGAGUUAUGAUCCAAAUGUAAUACUAUAUUUGGUCAUAUUUCUUAACCAUAAAUAUUUGGGUUUAAAAUGUUAAAUGACUAUAUGUAUAAAUUCAGUCAUCUAUAAAUACCAUUUUACCUGCCUAAAUUUUUUUAAGGUCCAGUGAAAGCAAUUAUGUCAGUCUGGACAAAUUAAUGCAUUGAUCUCGUGUGCAAUUCUGUCUUCCAGUUUAGUGAAGAAAUAGAGUUUCUGUGGCGGCUUGUCCGUGCCUAUGGAGACAUGUAUGAUCUAUCUACAAAUACACAAGAAAAGAAACAUUAUGCUAAUAUUGGGAAAACAUUAGGAGAAAGAGCGGUCAUGAGGGCACCCAUGAAUGGACACUGCCAUCUGUGGUAUGCAGUUUUGUGUGGUUAUGUAUCUGAGUUUGAAGGCUUGCAAAACAAAAUUAACUGUGGACAUCUAUUCAAGGAGCAUCUAGAUAUAGCCAUCCAGCUCUUACCUGAAGAACCCUUUCUGUAUUACCUCAAGGGAAGAUAUUGUUAUACUGUCUCAAAACUCAGCUGGAUUGAGAAAAAAAUGGCUGCUACUCUGUUUGGGGAAAUACCAUCUUCAACGGUUCAUGAAGCUUUGCAUAACUUCCUUAAGACUGAAGAAUUGAAACCUGGUUAUUCUAUGUCCAACUACAUGUAUGUGGCCAAGUGUUACAUUGAUCUUGACGAAUCUCAAGAUGCUUGGAAAUUCUGUAACUUGGCAUUAUUGCUGCCUAUUAUUACCAAAGAGGACAGAGAUGCACAUAAAGAGGUGAAAAGAAUAAUCUGUUCUUUGAAGAGUUUCAGGUGGAAAACACACAAGAAGAACUACAGAGACUAGAUAGUGAAAAUAAAAUGUGUAAAACUACAGUCCUCAAAGACACACUGGGAGUGGACAGACACAUUGAUGGGAUAGGGUAAAAAAAAAAAAAAAAGGCCUCCGUUUGCAUGGAUAUAUUCAAAUGCAUGUGCUAAUUUAACAUAUGGUAAAGGGGUAUGUAAAAA
This 1305-nucleotide long non-coding RNA is filed under the name Cricetulus griseus (Chinese hamster). RNAcentral's name for it is "lncRNA (ENSCGRG00000024345.1)". The record is from RNAcentral. Lineage: Eukaryota; Metazoa; Chordata; Mammalia; Rodentia; Cricetidae.